Molecule: ribosomal RNA, 497 nt
Filed under: uncultured bacterium
Lineage: Bacteria
Description: partial 16S ribosomal RNA
Rfam family: Bacterial small subunit ribosomal RNA
Source: RNAcentral
GAUGAACGCUGGCGGCGUGCCUAAUACAUGCAAGUCGAGCGAACAGACGAGGAGUUUGCUUCUAUGACGUUAGCGGCGGACGGGUGAGGAACACGUGGAUAACCUACCUAUAAGACUGGGAUAACUUCGGGAAACCGGAGCCAACACCGGAUAAUAUAGUGAACCGCAUGGUUCAUUAGUGAAAGACGGAUUUGCUGUCACUAAUAGAUGGAUCCGCGGCGGAUUAGCUAGGUGGUAAGGUAACGGCUUACCAAGGCAAGGGUGCGUAGCCGACCUGGGAGGGUGGACGGCCACACUGGAACUGGAACACGGUCCCGGCUCCUACGGGAAGGAACAGUAGGGAAUCUUCGGCAAUUGGGGGAAGCCUGGCGGAAGACCGCCGGGUUGGUGGUAGAGGUCUUCCGAUCGUAAAACUCUUUUAAUAGGGAAGAACAGAUGUUUAAGUAACUCUGCACUGCUUGACGGUACCUAACCAAAAAGCCACGGCUAACUACGUG